This 369-nucleotide ribosomal RNA is filed under the name Triticum aestivum (bread wheat). Its description in RNAcentral is "partial small subunit ribosomal RNA". The record is from RNAcentral. Lineage: Eukaryota; Viridiplantae; Streptophyta; Magnoliopsida; Poales; Poaceae.
AUGAAUUGGAUACUUCAAGAGAAGAGAAGAGAAUUGACAGAUAAGGAGAGGCAUGGUGUUUACUUCGCUUUGUUGGUAAUCGAGCUCAAAGAUGGGUCUGUUCAACUAGACGACAAGCUGCUAGUCUCAAACCUGUUGGACAUAAGUGUACGAUCUGUUGAAAGAAUCCAGGAAGAAGCCAAAAAGAAAAUUGCCGAUGGCAAAGAAGUAGAUGUCUCAAGCAAGAAGCUAGGAAGAUCUGGCCGAAAGAGAAAGGAGCUGGAUCUAGAGAGGACCUCAACAAUCCCACUGAAUAAAAGAAGGGAAAUUCGAUCUCUGGCACGGUCUCUAGGUGUGGCCCGAUUGACCCUAAAUAAGAGGUUCCAGUUG